This is a non-coding RNA of Heterocephalus glaber (naked mole-rat), 1505 nucleotides long. The record is from RefSeq and is a predicted model, not a curated record. Lineage: Eukaryota; Metazoa; Chordata; Mammalia; Rodentia; Bathyergidae.
CCUUAAUGGUCCUGAAGCUCUGCGGAUUGCCUGAAUCCUUUUUGAAGCUCCUGAAAACUCAGACCCCUCUCUACAUCCUGCCUUUCCUGGGACCUGAGGACCAAGAGUCAGCUCUGCCCCCGGGGAUCUCCACACUGAGUCAUCCUUUGCUUCAGUUUGCCGGGGCAAAGUCCUCUGCAGCCACUCUGGCCAGGUCACCAAGGGGCCCUCUGCUGGGACAAGGAGGCCUGGUCACCGCUAUCCCCAGCACCACAGCAACAGGCCGGGUCCAGAGCAGUGCUCAGGAUCUGUUGUUGCCAGACUGAAAUUUCCUCUAAGGAUCGCCACUGAGCCCUGCCCGAUGAGAAACUGAGGCCUUUACCUUUGAAGAGGAGGUUGGCCUUGGGCAGGUCUAGCUGGUACCCGAAGGAGACACUGGUAUCCUGCAUCCUUGUGCUGGCCUCGAACUCCACGCCCACCUGCAGCUGGAGAAGCCAGGACAAGGCCCAGGGCUUCGCAGACCCUGCCUCGGGAACUCUUUGCUGAACCCCACCAGCACCGCUCUGCUGGGACACUGUGUCCAGCUGAGGGGGACUGAGGAGCCACCUAUGCUUGAUAUGGAGCUGUCAGCUUAGAAUCUCUGAUCCCUGCUACGGACAUCAGGCAACCUGAGUACACAGUGAUGCUUCCAGCUGCGGAUGCAGGGCCAGAGACAGCUUUCAUCGACUGCUUCGCCAAGAGGUGGCCAGUGACCCCACUGUGCCCACUUACAGAGGACACCGAGGCUCAGUGCGGCUGGCGAAGUUUUUGUUGACAAGUGACUGGAGUGCUCGGCACGGAAGGGCCUGUUUCUGUUAGGCUUGAGCCAGGGCCAGGCCAGGGUGAAGGCUGCCCAUGCCAAGGGUGGCAACAGUGGAAGAUGCCACCUGGGGCCACCUCACCUGGAGGGACGCUGCCUGGUGCCCUGAGACAACGCCCUAGCCAGAGUUGUCCAGGCCCAGAAUUCUGGAGUCACUCACCUCCUCUCUUAUCCUCCACACCCAACUGUCAGCAAAGCCCAUCAGCUCCGCUGAGAACCCACCUGCACCUCACUCCUCCCUGCCCUUGGAGCAGAAGCCCCUGGGGUCACAAGAGUCUCAUCAGAAGCCGUCAGACCCUCGAGCCGCCCCAGCCCUGCUCAAGGAAAGGCCCUGUGACCAUCCUCUCCUAACACAUUUACAGGCCCUGCCCCUUCCGCUCCCUUACCCGGAAGAGCUGUCUGCCCAGCCACCCGCCUGGCUCCUUCCCUGUCCUUCAGGCUUGGUUCAGAUGUCGCCUGCAGAGUGAGGCCUUCUCCCAGGACUGCCCACUCCUUCCCAGGUCCCAGUCUUUUCCCAGAGCCCCUUUCUUUUCACAUUACUGGGGACUAAACCCAGAGCCUUUCCACUGAGCUACAUCUCAGACGCUUUUUUUGAGACAGGGUCUCACUAAGUCACUAACUUGCCCAGGCUGGACUGGGAUGGAAUGGUGAUAGUCCUGCCUCAGCC